Molecule: unclassified non-coding RNA, 205 nt
Filed under: Hevea brasiliensis (rubber tree)
Lineage: Eukaryota; Viridiplantae; Streptophyta; Magnoliopsida; Malpighiales; Euphorbiaceae
Source: RNAcentral
AUUGUAUGUCACCGCACUCGGAACUAGCCCCUUUUCCGACAUAACAUUUAGUAACUCUCUUGCUUCGUCAAGCUUAGAGUCUUUACACAAACCAUCGAUGAGAACAGUGUAAGUAUGAACAUUGGGCUCACAACCUUUCUCCCUCAUCUCAUCAAACAAACUCAAUGCCUCUACCCUCCUAUCCAACCGACACAACGCAUCAAUG